This is a long non-coding RNA of Rosa chinensis, 804 nucleotides long. RefSeq lists it as uncharacterized. Lineage: Eukaryota; Viridiplantae; Streptophyta; Magnoliopsida; Rosales; Rosaceae. The record is from RefSeq and is a predicted model, not a curated record. The transcript has 6 exons.
CGUGUGUUAUCUACCCUUUCUCUCUCUCUCAGAUUGCAGAGUCUUCUAGGUCGCCACGCCUCCACUACCUUCGUAAAACCGCCAACACCCUCUCAUAUCUGAAUCAAAACUACCCCAAACCCUAUCCUUCAUCUUCGUCCUGUUCUAGAUGAAAGCUUUUGAAUUGGAAAUUUCUCCGAGUAUUACCAAUUGGUUGCAAACUUGUAUUUGUUUGCUGGGAAUCCUAAAUGAUCGAUUGGCUAAGAUUAUUGAGGAGGAAUUGAUACCAAUCAAUUACGAUAAACAAUGGCGAUGAGAAACUUCAGAACAAUUGUGCGGACCAUAGGCCUAGCUCCUGUUCUCCAAGUCCCUCUUCAAUUGGAACAUGGCUAAAGCUGGGUUUCGUAACUUAUCUUUUACUCUCAUGGAUAUCAGAUCCCUAUAACUGCCAUACGGAACAUGAAAACCAAUAAAGAAGCUGCACCAUGACAAUGUCAUCAAGUUGAAAGAGAUUGUGACAUCUCCAGAUGGUAACUAGUAUAAAGGGGGCAUCUAUACUUAAUUCACACCCCAUUUUGUCCAGGGAAAAGAUGAUGCUGGAACUUGGGCUAGGGAAAAUCACUGCAACCUGAGAAUACUGAAAGAGUUCAUAUGUUCACUGGUCUUUUUUGUUGAAAGCUGCAGCUACACUGAAGUGUGAAGAAGAGUAUUUAGUUAUUUUUUGUUCUCUCUUUUUAAUGUUUUAGUUCUGGGAGUGUAAUCGCUUGAACUUAUUGUAUGUAAUUUUUUAAUAAAAUCAUUAGUUUUAAUUUUGUUGUUAAUAUA